UCCAGAAAUAUUAUCUUAAUAGAAAAAUUAUUAUAUGUCCCACGUAAUAUCAUACGCACAACGAUUCUUAUCUACUCGUGAAACAAUCAAAAAUCAUUUUUCAUCUUUUUCAAUCCUCAAUCCUCACUCCAAUCCUACGAAGAUAAUAAGAAGAGAAGAUUUCAUCCAUAUUCUUAAUACGCAAAAAAAAAAUAAGAAAAGGAGAAAGCAAUUGAAAUUUCUUUAUUUCAAUCAUUAAUAAUGUUUAUCACAAUUUUAUAAAUAAAUAAUUAUUUUCUUGGAUAAUUCGUGAGAUUAUUUGAAGAACCGUGGAUUUCGAUUCUAACAGGAGAAAUUUUACGAUUGCAUGUAUGACGAUUGGUGUUUCGUUCGCAAAGAACAAUGAGCGUUAAUUUUAUCGGCCCUCUGGACGGAUUGGUUGAACUAACUGACGGCUGAUUCAGCAGCUGUUACCUCAUCGGUAGCGCCCUCCAUCCUGACGCUUUUAGGGGGAGGCAUAUUGGAGGACGUUACUGCUCGAGAAGAGGAGCGAUUCUGCGAUCGUUUCCAAGGGAACGGAGGAUAUUAACGGUGUUAAAAGAAGACCGUUAUAAACUUGCUCUCGUCUCCCCCCUCAUUUUCAUUUUAAUUUCCUUUCGAGGAUGGAAUGACAAAAAUUCGUCGAGUUAAUCAAAUUGAAAAUGAAUCGGACUCCUUUCAGGACAGCUGCAUCUUUCGUUCGACAAUUUUUUGAAAAUAAUACAUACAUGGGUGCAAUAAAGGCAUAACUCUCGGACCCAUUCAUCUGAAAUCCUUUCGUUUCGAAGGAAUUCGAAACACGUCUUGAUACUCUAACCUCUUCUACCUAACCUCUACUACCACUUCUUUGCGUUAUAUCUAAAAACUUUUAGCCACGGUUUCGCCUUCGUUUUAUUACCUUUUUUAACCUUUUUCUUUCUCUCUCUUUCUUCAGGCUUCGUUUUCGUUCUCGAUUCUCUCCGCUACCAGUUUGCUUCGAUUCCGUGAUUCAGUUGGACGCCGUGUUGUGUCAACAUUUUUAUCCACGCUUAUCCCCGUAAAUAUUCGUAUUUUUACAAUGGAUAUCAAAGUGCGUGUUCAAAGUGUUGAGAUCGAGUUAUUAUAAAUAUAAAUUCGAGGGAAAUAAGUGAAAGAUUAUUUUCUAACAAUACAAACAUAAAUUUAAUUUAAAUAAAUAAUCUUUCGUUUCUCUUUGAUACGGAUAAAACGAUAUAUGCGUCAUACUUAAUAUUUUUCUUUCUUCUUUUAAACUACUUCUUUAUUCCUUUUACGAGUAAUAAAUAUUUUAAAAAUAUUUGAAGGCGCGGAGAAAAAUUUUGGAGUGGAAAUUGUUUAAAAAUUCUUUCACCGAGGAGACUUCGCCAUUUCGGGGUGGAAAUUAUCGAAUUUUCCAUCCCGUGUGCCUUUCACGCCUCUGGACCAACAUGGCUGCUCGCGUAUCCAUGGUUACACCCUCUGCUGUUCGAUAUAACCCUUGAUGAAACGCUCACAUUGGGAAUAGAAGGGGCGGUACGAAAAGAGGGUGAAACUACCGCGAAGGGUGUGCUCGAGAUGGAAGGUUACGCGGAAAGCCUUUCAUCUUUCACGUCGGCCAUUAAA
This 1617-nucleotide long non-coding RNA is filed under the name Apis mellifera (honey bee). RNAcentral describes it as "uncharacterized LOC102656603". Lineage: Eukaryota; Metazoa; Arthropoda; Insecta; Hymenoptera; Apidae. The record is from RNAcentral.